AGAAUGUUGCUUGAGAAUUCCACCCCCAAGGGGUAAAUGAAGUUUAAAUUUCCUUUAAUAACUUUAAUUUCGUUCUGCGGUAAUGUGGCAAAUAUACUUAGCCAUAUUGUAAAUCAAAGACAAAUAGUCAAAAUGUUUACCAUUAUAAACUUAGUGCUUCUCUUUGAAAUCACUGAAGUAACUGCUCACAACGGACUGAGCGAGCAAAUGCCUUUCUAAAUGAAGGCCAAGAAUCAAACAAAAAAUUAGAAGGUACAGAAAUAAUCGACAGCCAGGACAGGAUCAUUUUUUGUGCUUAUUCUUUUGGUUCUUUUUUAACAUUUCCUUAGGUAAAUAUUAUUUUCUCUGUUUUCAGGUUUAGACUUUAUUGAGCCAUUAAUGAGAAAACAGGGUAAAGACUUGCACUACAUCUGAAGUGAAAAAAAAAUGUCUUGCUAUUCUGUUCCAUAGCCCUGCGUUCCUGCAGGUUUCAGAUCUUUAUUUUUAGAAGAAACGUCAGCCUCCCUUCUCCAACAUCCAGCACAGGGCACUGAUGAGCAGCAACACAGAAUCCUUCAGCAAUUUAUUGAGGCAGAGAAGUGGUGUGCUGAGAAUGAAUCUGUGUUCAGGGGGCACAUCUCACUCCCUUCAUUACUGUCAAUGGACAAAGAUGACAUUGAGGAAUCCAUUCAGAAAUUUGAUUUGCUAUCUGAAUUUCCAGAAGAAGAGGAGAGGGAGUAUGUCUUUACACCCUUCAUCAUUCUUUUUUUCACAUAUGAAAGCCAUGCAUCUGUUUUUAGAUAACGUGAGAGGAAAAAGGAAAAUGACUGUGUUUUGUGAGAAAAUGUAACAAACAUACAUGUCCCUCAUUGUUCAGUUACAACCUACAAUUCUUGUUCUAUAUUUUAUAUAUUCUUUAACUUUAUUGUAAUAAAUGUUGCAAACCAACUUCAUCUUUACAGUC
This is a long non-coding RNA of Erpetoichthys calabaricus (reedfish), 943 nucleotides long. RefSeq lists it as uncharacterized. The transcript has 2 exons. The record is from RefSeq and is a predicted model, not a curated record. Lineage: Eukaryota; Metazoa; Chordata; Cladistia; Polypteriformes; Polypteridae.